Molecule: ribosomal RNA, 355 nt
Filed under: uncultured bacterium
Lineage: Bacteria
Description: bacterial SSU rRNA
Rfam family: Bacterial small subunit ribosomal RNA
Source: RNAcentral
GUCUAGUACUCAGAGUUUGAUCCUGGGCUCAGGAUUAACGCUGGCGGCGUGCAUAACACAUGCAAGUCGAACGAUGAAACUUAGUAGACUUCUUCGGAAAGACACUAAGCGGAUUAGUGGCGAACGGGUGAGUAACGCGUGAGUAACCUGCCUUGCACAAGGGGAUAGCCUUUGGAAACGAAGAAUAAUACCCUAUAAAACCAUAAAAGCACAUGCUAGAAUGGUCAAAGUGAUAGCGGUGUAAGAUGGACUUGCGUCUGAUUAGCUAGUUGGUGAGAUAAAAGCUCACCAAGACAACGAUCAGUAGCCGGCUUGAGAGAGUGUACGGCCACAUUGGGACUGAGACACGGCCCAG